AUGGGAUAUGGAUAUAUGUAUCCCUCAGACCUGAGGCUACCUCGGUGACUUGCAAGCAACUCACUGUGCUUUGGUGUCAGACUACUCAAAUUUUUAAUUCGAUGACAGAAGAUUUUUGGGUACAGUCAAAUACUUGUGAAGUCUGAGUGUGAGUCAAGAUGGGAUUGAUUGCUUCAAGUAAAAUUGGAGAUGAUGCAUCAUUGUGUUUCAAUUCAGUAAAACUUUGGCCAA
Molecule: long non-coding RNA, 231 nt
Filed under: Elaeis guineensis (African oil palm)
Lineage: Eukaryota; Viridiplantae; Streptophyta; Magnoliopsida; Arecales; Arecaceae
Description: long non-coding RNA (EGUI_LNC068814)
Source: RNAcentral